AUAUAUAUAUAUUAUUAGAAAUAAUUUAUAUAUUUAAAAAUAGAAAUAUUUAAAAAUGGUAAAUAAAUAAAUAAUAAUAUAAUAAAGUAACUUUAUAAAUUUCAAUUAUUUUUAUCAAAAGUUAGAUAAUGCAAAAUUAAAAGGUCAAUGUAAACUUGAAUAAAUCAAACAAAAAAAAAAUACAUUAUGGUUUUAUUUUUUUAACUAAUAAAACUAAAAUAUAAAAAUAGAAAAUUUUAUUUAUAUAUAACAUUUUUAAAUAUUUUAUAUCUGCGCAUGGCGCAGGAAAACUCCUAGUCAUCCAUACAAAUCACAAGUGAUAUAUGCCUAUAUCAUACAUAUUACGAAUUAUAAGUGCACAAAUAAAUAUUCUAAUACUAAAUAUGUUUGACUAAAAUUUAUAUCCUCUUUUGUAAGUGUAAAACAAAUUACUUUCAUUUUUGCAAAAUGAGAAGAUAAUCUAUUGAUUUAAAUUAAGGAAGCAACAUAGAAUUUGGGAUAGAUUAAAUCUUGUAAAGCUGCCACAGAUAUAAUUGUCAGUUAGUUUAAACAUGACCGAUGACAAACCACAUUUCCAAAAAAGUUAAGAUACCAAUUUAUGAUGAAAUGACAACAAACCAACAUUAAAUUUUUGGUUAUUUAAUGAGGAAAAAUCAAAACAUAAUCAGAUUCUCAAAACCAACGAACACUUCUCGUUUUGACAAGAAUUUGACCAAUAUUAUUACUGCAUACGAUUACUAUAUUUUAAAUCUCCCAUUACAUUAACUAUUUAAGCUCAAUUUAUUAAAUUAUUGAUCAGGGAAGGAUUAAAAAUAUUUUUUAGCAUGGGGCGUUAUCAAUUUCUUAGAACUAAUUUUUAGUUUAGAAAUAUUUCAAUCAAUCUUAACACUAAUUAUCAAUGAAAAUAACAAAUUAGGUUGGGGCACAUGCCACACAUCCUCUUGCCAUCCACUCAUGCGAAUGAUUUAUCUUCAUCCACUAAACCACUACCGUAAAUUGAUUUUUUUUUUGUGUGUGUGUCUCCAAGUAAAAGAAUAAAUAUCAAGAUUGUCCAUAGGAGGAAAAAGGUCACAGUCCGAGAAAAAACUUGAAACCUCAGCUUCUCUCUCAUCUCAUCUCUCGAGACUCUCUUAAGCGAAAUUGAUAACGCUCCGGCGUCCGGCCGCGUGUGAGAGCGCGUUCCGGCGCCGGAGGCACCGUGCGUCUCCUUUUCCCCUCUCUUUUUCGAUUUGCUUCAUCAUCGUCUCAUCUCCUUCCCUUUGUCUUGCUCGAGCUCUCUGUCUCUGGAGAGUUUCCGGCGUGGGUUUCUCGUGUGAGGAGACACGUCCGGCUCUGUUCUACUGGUUUUGGAGGCUCGGCACGGAGGUGGAGGGUUUUGCGAUUGCUGGAGUCGGCGUUUAAGGUUUGCUGGUGGGUGAUUUUACUUUGUUUCCACUGGUAGUGUUAGCGGCGCGUGGAGGAAGACACUAGGCUUUCGUUUCAGAUCUGGGCUGUGGGUUCGAAGAUCCAUUACGUCUGGUUUGUCGUGGAGUGGAGUCGAGUAUUGGUUGGUGGUUUCGUCAUGGUGUCUCGAUGAAAUGCCUCCUCUAAAGUCGACAACUUGAAAGUCUUGGAGUUUCGAUUUUCUCAAGAGUGUGCUCAGCCUUCGACGCCGGCGUGUGUUGGGUCUACAGGUGCUGGCGCGUGGUAGCUUGUGGUGUCGUGGAUCGUCGCUGUCGUCUGGGGCAGUCUCGUGCGAUAUUACUGGCCUCCCUUUCAUCUGGUUGUUCGCUUCCCGGAAUCUGCUUCAGACACCAUUUUCAGAGCUUAGUCGACAAGCUCUAGGUGGUUUGAGUUGGUGUGUUCUUCUCUGAGGCUGUUUCCGUUACCACUGGUUUUAGCAAUUGGACAACAAUCGAUUACUCCUCUUCGGUUCUCGCUGAGAGCGUACAGCAUUGGAGUUGGCGGGUUCGGGUGGUCAGUGAACUUUGCGUCUCCUUGGUGGUACUGUACGGAGGGAAAGCAUUUCCCAGGAGCUAUAUCUGUCUUUGAUAGCUAUGGUUCUUUGUGUAUAUAUGAAUAAUCAUGGAUAGCUCUUUUGGGGAUGCGUCAAGUCUGGUUCAAAAGAUACCCUGCGGGUUCUCCAUUGUGGGUGCGCGUGAGGAGGUUAGAAGUUGGUCUUGUCAACCACGACUCUCCUACUCGGUGGCGACGCGUAUGGAGCCGGUCCGCUUCAGAGGUUUGAUCUUGGGAUGCCUCAUGUACACCUUUAUUGGUGGUGCUGAUCUCUCUGUCUUUUUGGUAUUGUUCUUGUCGUGUGGCCAUCCUCGGAGGCUAUUUCCGUCAAAUAACACUCAGUCUGGUCGAUGUGGGUGUGCUUGACCUCUGGUGAGGCUGUCUGUUCAUGUUGGUGGAUACUCAGGACGUCUGCAGCGAGAUGUUCUUCGAAGAGUCAGAUCAUAAAGAGCGGAUCAUCGGGGAGCCCAAAAUUACCGGGUUCUGUCUUUCGAAAUAACUGUGGCUCUUCCAUUUGCGGCAAGAUGUUAGUGCGGACUGGUUGGGGCCUCUGAGUAGCAGUUUUGCUUGUUGUGUCGGUUCCUUCUAGAUUAGGUCGAGUUGAUGUUUAUGACUUUUUUUCUUUCUUCUGAUUCUCGUUGUUGCCAUUGUACUUCUGUCAAAAAUCUGAAAAUUGGUAAUAAUAUCUUUACAUUUUUACCAAAAAAAAAAAAAAAUUGUCCAAA
Brassica napus (rape) is the source of this 2720-nucleotide long non-coding RNA. RefSeq lists it as uncharacterized. The transcript has 2 exons. NCBI's taxonomy places the organism in Eukaryota, Viridiplantae, Streptophyta, Magnoliopsida, Brassicales, Brassicaceae. The record is from RefSeq and is a predicted model, not a curated record.